RNAcentral lists this ribosomal RNA (253 nucleotides) under uncultured bacterium. RNAcentral's name for it is "partial 16S ribosomal RNA". It matches the Rfam family "Bacterial small subunit ribosomal RNA", at positions 524 to 776 of the family's 1533-position model. The record is from RNAcentral.
UACGUAGGGUGCGAGCGUUAAUCGGAAUUACUGGGCGUAAAGCGCGCGCAGGCGGUUCGUUGUGUCUGAUGUGAAAGCCCCGGGCUCAACCUGGGAAUGGCAUUGGAAACUGGCGAGCUGGAGUGUGGCAGAGGGGGGUGGAAUUCCGCGUGUAGCAGUGAAAUGCGUAGAGAUGCGGAGGAACACCGAUGGCGAAGGCAGCCCCCUGGGCCAACACUGACGCUCAGGCACGAAAGCGUGGGGAGCAAACAGG